RNAcentral lists this long non-coding RNA (296 nucleotides) under Elaeis guineensis (African oil palm). Its description in RNAcentral is "long non-coding RNA (EGUI_LNC021097)". Lineage: Eukaryota; Viridiplantae; Streptophyta; Magnoliopsida; Arecales; Arecaceae. The record is from RNAcentral.
AGUUAUCCAACCGGUGGAUUCAUAAAAUAACAAAUGGGUCAGAGUGCAGAUAGCUUGACAAGGAUUGAUGGUGGUGAAGUCUAAUGAUACGUGGUAAGAAUUGGAGUGGGUUUCUGAUUGAUGGUGAUGAAGUCUAAUGCUACGUACUAAGAAUUGGAGUGGGCAGUUCAGAAAGACAGGAACCCUCCAUCGAGGGUCAUUCAAGGGACCACAAAAGAGGACGGGACAUGCUUCACCAGGGUCACUCACGGACUUCCCCAAGCAUUUAAAGGUAGUCCAGGAAUCUACUCAAUAUU